Molecule: ribosomal RNA, 444 nt
Filed under: Triticum aestivum (bread wheat)
Lineage: Eukaryota; Viridiplantae; Streptophyta; Magnoliopsida; Poales; Poaceae
Description: partial small subunit ribosomal RNA
Source: RNAcentral
AUGGCGCGGUGUCACCCCGCCGCCACCUCAGCCAAGCGCCGCGCCGCCCCUCCAAACCCUAGCCCGCCCCCUCCGCCCGCCGACGGAUUGCUUCCGCUCCUCCACGCGGCGAGCCGCGGUGACCUCCGCCUCUUCAAGAGGCUGGUGAGAGAUCUGGAUCAGGGCAGGGGCCGUCCCAGGGAGGUGGUGGAGGCGGCCAAGGACCAAGGUCUCGUGGCGCUGCACUUCGCUGCCGGGAAGGGAAGGCCACGGGUGUGCAGGUACCUGGUCGAGGAGCUAGGGGUCGAUGUGGACGCCGUCGACGAUGGAGAAUUGGGCUAUAGGAAACUGUAUGUUGACCAGCAAUUUACAACGGUCAUGCUAUUUUGUGAAUCAGAUGCAUAUAUACAUGUUUUAGUGUGUCUGUUUACUCAUUUUAGUCCGCAUGCAUGUACUUCAUACUGA